RNAcentral lists this unclassified non-coding RNA (244 nucleotides) under uncultured fungus. RNAcentral describes it as "sequence contains ITS1, 5.8S rRNA gene". The stretch from base 196 to 244 matches the Rfam family "5.8S ribosomal RNA", at positions 1 to 49 of the family's 154-position model. The record is from RNAcentral. Lineage: Eukaryota; Fungi.
UUUCCGUAGGUGAACCUGCGGAAGGAUCACUAGUGAUUUAAAUACUUGGAAGCUUCGGCUUUCAGGUCCCUUCACAUCCACACACACCCUGUGCUCUUGGCUGUUUGGAUCUUAAUUGAUCUGAGCAGUUCAACCCCCCUUUUUUUAAUAAACUCAGUCUAAUGAAUGUAAACAAGUUUUUAAUAAACAAAAUAAAACUUUCAACAACGGAUCUCUUGGCUCUCGCAUCGAUGAAGAACGCAGC